Long non-coding RNA from Amaranthus tricolor (Joseph's coat), 699 nucleotides. RefSeq lists it as uncharacterized. NCBI's taxonomy places the organism in Eukaryota, Viridiplantae, Streptophyta, Magnoliopsida, Caryophyllales, Amaranthaceae. The transcript has 3 exons. The record is from RefSeq and is a predicted model, not a curated record.
AAAGUCGUUGCAAAAACCCAUAUCCUAACAAUUUUUUGCAACGAUUCCCUAGCUCUUAAAAUUAACCCACGCCUCUUUGUCAAAAUUUCCCUCUCAAACCUGAAAUCCCAUCUCCUCUCAAACAAAGUGAAAACCCUAUGCUCAUCUCUUUUUCUCUGUCUAGACUUCUCCUCUACUGGGCGACACCAUUUGCCCCGCCAAAGCAGGAAAGCGGCUAGUCGACCACCGUGAAAGUCAAGACCACCGGCGUGCUAGUGUUCCGAUGAUUUGGUGCAUCAACUAUUGUAAGUCGGUGUGGUCCGCUAUUUCUUCGGGAUUUAAUUUGAUCGUGCAAUGACUUCAAGUUGAAAAGGAUGUGCAAAGAGGGAGCAUAUUGGGGUGAAUGCAAACUUUAUUUUAGUGGCAAUGCCAUCACAAAUGGCAAACAUAUCUUCGUUGGAAAUUUUUUGUACUCAAUAACAAAGUUGGUGAUUGCUACAAGCAUUUUGGAUGCGCGAUGUUUUGGGUUAUGAAGUAGCUAUAUGUGUACUUGUAAAUUUUUGGACUUUUUCAAAGUGCCUAUCACUUGUAAAUUUUUGCAUGAAAACUUGUAUAUGGUAGGAGAAUUAUUUUGGAAAAUUUGUUAUCCGUUACAUGUAUAUGAAUUACGUAUAUUUUUGACACAAUAAUAUUUGGGACGUGUGAUAUUUUGGGAUACGA